UACGUAGGGUGCGAGCGUUAAUCGGAAUUACUGGGCGUAAAGUGUGCGCAGGCGGCGCCGCAAGUCGAGUGUGAAAGCCCCGAGCUUAACUUGGGAACUUUGCGCUCGAAAACUAUUGGUGCUGGAGUGUGGCAGAGGAAGGUGGAAUUCCACGUGUAGCGGUGAAAUUGCGUAGAGAUGAUGGAGGAACACCGAUGGCGAAGGCAGCCUUCUGGGCCAACACUGACGCUCAUGCACGAAAGCGUGGGGAGCAAACAGGA
This 260-nucleotide ribosomal RNA is filed under the name uncultured bacterium. RNAcentral's name for it is "partial 16S ribosomal RNA". It matches the Rfam family "Bacterial small subunit ribosomal RNA", at positions 524 to 777 of the family's 1533-position model. The record is from RNAcentral.